GGGGCUGUCUCGAUUCGACAGGACGUACUUUCAAAAUACGCAAGCCGAUCAUGAUGGUACGAUCGCAAACACUUCCAUCAACUGAUAAGUGCAAACUUUAUCUCAAAGGCCAAGUCGGCAUUCGCUUCAGCGUUUACUCCGUCUUACGCUUUCGCCCUCGCCUAAUCGCCUGGGAGCAGCGCUUCGGCGUCGCUCACCGAGCUAGGCUGGACCAUCGGUCUCCCGAUUCUCGAUAGGGAAACACCGGUGUCAUACUUCGAGAAGGCCCAGGGACUUUCUUCUUGUUUUUCUUCCCCGAUCCCCUUUUGCGAAAGACUCGUCUUCUCUCCUUUCUGUCCACCGUUGAAGAGAGAAGGAAUACACGGCGGACUAUGCUUGUAGACUAUUUUGAAGGAAUGUGACUGGACAUGGGUGCGAUUCCCAUCAGCUCCACUG
Molecule: transfer-messenger RNA, 435 nt
Filed under: Candidatus Moraniibacteriota bacterium
Lineage: Bacteria; Candidatus Moraniibacteriota
Rfam family: transfer-messenger RNA
About the family: Bacterial tmRNA, also known as 10Sa RNA or SsrA, is named for its dual tRNA and mRNA-like properties. Its role is to liberate the mRNA from a stalled ribosome.
Source: RNAcentral